AAAUUGAAGAGUUUGAUCAUGGCUCAGAUUGAACGCUGGCGGCAGGCCUAACACAUGCAAGUCGAACGGUAACAGGAAGCAGCUUGCUGCUUUGCUGACGAGUGGCGGACGGGUGAGUAAUGUCUGGGAAACUGCCCGAUGGAGGGGGAUAACUACUGGAAACGGUAGCUAAUGCCGCAUAACGUCGCAAGACCAAAGAGGGGGACCUUAGGGCCUCUUGCCAUCGGAUGUGCCCAGAUGGGAUUAGCUAGUAGGUGGGGUAA
This 263-nucleotide ribosomal RNA is filed under the name Escherichia coli. RNAcentral's name for it is "partial 16S ribosomal RNA". It matches the Rfam family "Bacterial small subunit ribosomal RNA", at positions 1 to 260 of the family's 1533-position model. Lineage: Bacteria; Pseudomonadati; Pseudomonadota; Gammaproteobacteria; Enterobacterales; Enterobacteriaceae. The record is from RNAcentral.